AGUGAACGCUGGCGGUAGGCCUAACACAUGCCAGUCGAACGGCAGCACAGUAAGAGCUUGCUCGUACGGGUGGCGAGUGGCGGACGGGUGAGGAAUACAUCGGAAUCUACUUUUUCGUGGGGGAUAACGUAGGGAAACUUACGCUAAUACCGCAUACGACCUACGGGUGAAAGCAGGGGAUCUUCGGACCUUGCGCGAUUGAAUGAGCCGAUGUCGGAUUAGCUAGUUGGCGGGGUAAAGGCCCACCAAGGCGACGAUCCGUAGGUGGUCUGAGAGGAUGAUCAGCCACACUGGAACUGAGACACGGUCCAGACUCCUACGGGAGGCGGCAGUGGGGAAUAUUGGACAAUGGGCGCAAGCCUGAUCCAGCCAUACCGCGUGGGUGAAGAAGGACCUCGGGUUGUAAAGCCCUUUUGUUGGGAAAGAAAAGCAGCAGGUUAAUACCCCGCUGUUCUGACGGUACCCAAAGAAUAAGCACCGGCUAACUUCGUG
This 492-nucleotide ribosomal RNA is filed under the name uncultured bacterium. Its description in RNAcentral is "partial 16S ribosomal RNA". It matches the Rfam family "Bacterial small subunit ribosomal RNA", at positions 29 to 507 of the family's 1533-position model. The record is from RNAcentral.